UCGAGAAGGUUCAUUCUUUCUUCUUCUUAUUCUUUUUUUUCUUGUUCUUUCUUCUUUCUAUUUUCUUUUCUAUCUUUCUUCUUCUUCUUCUUCUUCUUUUUAUCUGGCGAUUUAGGAUGAAAUCUCUGUCGAUUAAAUUCACAGAAAGUUAGUGAAAUCAUGGAAUCAAAUAAGGUGUUGUUGAGUUCAUAAAUUGGGUUUGAUCAGAAGUUUCGGUUUAAUUGAAGAGAGAUGGUUUUGUGAGAAUUAGGGUUUCGUUGUUGAGAAUUGAGAAUUGAAUUGGAGUCUUCUGAGAAUAGAAGAUGGUGAUGAUGAUUAGAAGUCUGACCAUCGAGAAAAGAAGAAUACAAUGGAGGAAACCAGUUGGUGAUGGUGGUGUCAGUUCAGGUGAUUCAAUUCCAGAAGAAUCGAAUAAGGAUUUUUAAGUGUAAUGACUUAUUAAUGCUCUACGGAUAUUUGUCCCAAUACAUCAACAAAUACACUGGUGCUUAGUCGUGAUCAAUAAGAAGGAAGAGAAGGUCCAGUAUCUUAAUUCUCUUAAAGGCGUCGAUACUGAUGUCUUGGAAAAUCCGGAUGUAUUAAGAGACGUUUUUUUGGUGUUUGUUAACAGUUGCUAACAACACAUGGUCUUCUAAACACAAUAAAUGUUGCCGAAAUCACUGGUAAACGUGGUUUUACUUCGUCAAUGACACUGUACUUGCACUAGACAGAGAAAAAUCUAGAGAAGUUAGGGAAAAGCUUGCAAGCUCGCAAGCAAGGUAUUGCAUCACAAUACUGGUUUCCAAUAAUUUCAUAAAAGCUAAUUGCUUAUUUGUGGUAUUGGUCUAGCUGAAAUUGGAGUUGAUACUGAAUACACAAGUCAGAUGCAUGCGUAAAUCUCAAUUACACCAGAUAGAUGCAUAUGUAACUUCCAGUUACA
Molecule: long non-coding RNA, 919 nt
Organism: Papaver somniferum (opium poppy)
Lineage: Eukaryota; Viridiplantae; Streptophyta; Magnoliopsida; Ranunculales; Papaveraceae
Exons: 5
Source: RefSeq, a predicted model, not a curated record